AAUUAACAACUCUAAUAGCGGUUCCAAAAAGUCGCCCCGAUCAACGCGGGGCCGAGCCCUAGCUGUGGCUGCAGCGUCUUAUGGAGAAUCAACUCUUUAACGGCUCGGAUUCGAUCAGCUUUAGCCCGGUCCGUCGUACGGUCCACACUGAAAAAAGGUUGGUCGGGCCAGAUCAGUGCGGGCCAAUCUUCAGCGGUGCGGUUCGUUAGGUGUAUCGAGGAUGAAAGGAUACACCGUAAGUGGAACUGUUCAUGUGCUACGUUCUGUUAGUCACACGGUAACAGCAUCAACGUGAAUGGGUGAAGAAGUACCAUAAAAGAAUUUUAGGGGUCAGUAAAGGUCAGGCUAAAUAUCAAGCUAAACGAG
Long non-coding RNA from Daphnia magna, 366 nucleotides. RefSeq lists it as uncharacterized. NCBI's taxonomy places the organism in Eukaryota, Metazoa, Arthropoda, Branchiopoda, Diplostraca, Daphniidae. The transcript is spliced from 3 exons. The record is from RefSeq and is a predicted model, not a curated record.